GGAGAGGUGGCAGAGCCCGGUUGAAUGCGUCCGAUUCGAAAUCGGAAGUCCUGCUUAAUGGCGGGACCGUGAGUUCAAAUCUCACCCUCUCCGCCA
This 96-nucleotide transfer RNA is filed under the name Candidatus Omnitrophota bacterium. RNAcentral's name for it is "Candidatus Omnitrophica bacterium tRNA-Ser". It matches the Rfam family "tRNA". From Rfam's summary of the family: Transfer RNA (tRNA) molecules are approximately 80 nucleotides in length. The record is from RNAcentral. Lineage: Bacteria; Pseudomonadati; Candidatus Omnitrophota.